AGUACCAGCAGUACCAGGACG
This 21-nucleotide unclassified non-coding RNA is filed under the name Mus musculus (house mouse). RNAcentral describes it as "oocyte_clustered_small_RNA10240". The record is from RNAcentral. Lineage: Eukaryota; Metazoa; Chordata; Mammalia; Rodentia; Muridae.